Non-coding RNA from Microcebus murinus (gray mouse lemur), 530 nucleotides. NCBI's taxonomy places the organism in Eukaryota, Metazoa, Chordata, Mammalia, Primates, Cheirogaleidae. The record is from RefSeq and is a predicted model, not a curated record.
CUGUAGCCUCCAUCACGUGUGGUCUUUUUUUCCUUCUCUUGUCCACUCUAAUGAAGCAGCUGCCAUCUUGUGACCUGCUCUAUGAAAAGGCCCACAUGGGAAGGAACUGAGGGAACCUCUGGCAACAACCAGUGAGAAACUGAGGCCCUCAGUCCAACAAUUGUGAGAAACUGAGUCCUGCUAACAACCAACCAGACCUUUUCAUGCCGGUGAUAUCUGAAAGAAAGUCUUCUCCUAUCUUGUCUCGCAAAUAUAUCAGAUUAUCCUUCAAGAGUCAAUUCAAAUGUUUUCUCAAUAGAGAGCUGCUGGACUUCCAGGCAGGAAGCAACACUUCCUGUUCCAAGCUGCUGCCAUCCACCUUACUCUGAGAGAAUCCUAAGCCAUGUAUUCGAGCUCUAAUACAGGCUGAUGAGUGAACCAAGAUGGAUCAAAGUUUCCUUCAAAAGCUACAAACAUAUACAAGGCACAGUCACACCUCAUGCAGAAUUCAAUACAGAGUGUAAAGCAUCAGGAGCCUCAGGAAAUUGCAC